UAGCACCAUUCGAAAUCAGUAC
This 22-nucleotide microRNA is filed under the name Aedes aegypti (yellow fever mosquito). Its description in RNAcentral is "aae-miR-285". Its record names the gene aae-miR-285. RNAcentral also lists the same sequence under 3 other names. The record is from miRBase by way of RNAcentral. Lineage: Eukaryota; Metazoa; Arthropoda; Insecta; Diptera; Culicidae.